UAUCAUCAUAGUAUUUCAGAAAAAUUGGGUAUUUCAAUGGUUGUAUGUUUCAAGAAUAUACUUAAGAGUCACAAAGAAGCUAAAUCAACUGACUAUCAAGAUAAAUCAUUUUGUUCCUGAAAACGUAAGCACUAAUAGUUAUAUGGUACAAUUGACAAUGGUGGAACAUCGGGCAGCAAGUAUCAAACAUAGAAAUAUAUUUAGCAAUGUUAAUUUAAUGAGAUAUCCACUCCAACCAAGCGACAUUUUGCUAAUCGCAUACUUGUCAUAGAUAUAGACCUGACAAACGAACGAGAAGUUUUACUUACUUCGGGAAGUGAUAAUACUUACGUUAUAAACGAUUUUCUUUUCUUGUUCAAUAUACGUAUCGACUUUAAUUGUUUACACAUCUGAUGUUAUGUGAUUCGAAAUAAUGAACCUUUAUAAUUUGACAACAUGAAAAAUAACAUAGAAUGUUCAUAAACGGCUCGCCUCUUUGUUCUUUCACAUUUAGUAAAAAUAUCAGUGUCCAGAAUCUCAGAAAUGAAAUCUGUAACUGGACUGGGUACGUGUAUGUAAAUUUAUAUUUUCAUGAAUACAGCUACAGAAAUAGAAUUUCUGUACAAAUAGGGAUUUGUGUUUCACUUUUUAAAUAUUAUGAUGAGUACCUUACUUUAUAUAUUUUAUAAAUUUGUAUGUAUUCUAUAUAUUUCUGCACAUUUAAAUUCUCCAUAAAUAUAUGAAGAUUUGCAGUUUAAUCAUAGCUAAUAUACUCGUAUUACGUAAGUAAGAAAUAUAUUAAUAAAUUUUCAUGUUUUAACGAAUAAAGAUACAUUAUUUAUGUCUUUUUUGUGCAAUUAUUGAUCUUGACCGUAUAUUUAUUUACAUUCAAUCUGUUUUAUCGUUCUAAGGACGCUUCCGAAAUAAAUUCUUCUUUAUCAUUCGACUUAACGUUAAUUAAAUUUACAUACACGAUUAAGACAAUUUUCUCAAUUAAAAAUGAACAUGAGGAACAAAACGAGAUAAUCGCGAUCGGAAUAAAGAUAACAUUAUACUGUGAGUCAUCACUAGUUGCGCGUAAUUGAUGAUUUAUGGAAAUUAAAAAUAUUUUAAUAUUGUUGAUGCCCAACUUUCCGAUAAUUUACACUACGAUUUUACUUAUUAUAUGUUUUAACACGUAACAAUGUAAUAUGAUGUGUUUUUCGAUGCAUUACUAUAGCCUAUAUGUGAACCGUUCAGAACUCGUAUACUAAUCACUUCCAUAAAUUAAAAAAUAGAACAAUGUAAUGAUACUAUAAACAUUAUUUCUUAGAGUAGAGAUAUAAAUAUAUAUUAUUGAAAUUAUACUUUAUGAAAUUGAACACCAAUAAAAUUUAAAAAUGUAUAAAAAGUGGAGGUGAAGUUUGGCUUUUGAGAAGCUUAUAUGAGAGAGUGCAUGAAAUACAAUGGCAUGCACAUACAUAUCACAAUUCAAGAAGGAAAUAUGGAAUAACAUACGUGACUAGCGCAACUAUAAAUACGUCCUCUAUGCAGGAGACUCCUGUGCCACCUUGUUCAGAAUUUUCUUCUUCAGAUACUCUUUAUGCUCAAAUUACUAUUUGUAAAUAUUGUGCGCUUGAAUUGGUCAUGUAAUGGAUAAAAACACCAAAUAUCCAUAUAUGUCCAUUAUAAUAUAGGUAUUAUGUUACAUCAUCGACAGACUGUCGUAUAGGUACAUAUAGAUUGAGUAACUGUUAAGAUUUAGUUUAGGUUUAUUAGUAAAUAAAAGAAAGAAACUAUAAAUUAA
Molecule: long non-coding RNA, 1765 nt
Organism: Bombus terrestris (buff-tailed bumblebee)
Lineage: Eukaryota; Metazoa; Arthropoda; Insecta; Hymenoptera; Apidae
Exons: 2
Source: RefSeq, a predicted model, not a curated record